AGUCGUGUAAUGGCUACAAAGCGAACUAUUCUUUCGCCUUUUACUAAAGAAUACCGUGUAGCCGUUACAUAAAGCGACAUACGCCUAUUUUUGGAAGAGUUUCUCUGUAUAGAGAAAC
This is a non-coding RNA of Glycine max (soybean), 118 nucleotides long. The record is from Rfam. Lineage: Eukaryota; Viridiplantae; Streptophyta; Magnoliopsida; Fabales; Fabaceae.